Molecule: non-coding RNA, 358 nt
Organism: Camellia sinensis
Lineage: Eukaryota; Viridiplantae; Streptophyta; Magnoliopsida; Ericales; Theaceae
Source: RefSeq, a predicted model, not a curated record
CCUUUUCGUUUUUGAACCCUAGCCACUGAGACAGACGAACACAGAGGAGAGAGAGAGAGGCGAUGGAGAGGCAACGGAGUUACGGCGAGGAGAGGCGGCGGUGAGGCGACUGGAGUUGAAUUGCUUGGUUUUGUUUUGAUGUCAGAAAACCCGUUGUUGUUUGCUGUUAAGUUGCCUUAGUUGAUGGCAUAUGUAAACAUUGAAGAGGAGACGUUGUUCCACUUGCAGCAGAAAUUACUUGACUUUCUCAAGUUUCUGCAGAGGAAUUAGGGCACUUUCUUCCUUUCUGCUUAUGACGCCUCUAAAGUUUCUGAAGGGAGUGGCAAGGGGAAAGAUAAUUGAGCAGCAACUUCUGUUC